RNAcentral lists this ribosomal RNA (301 nucleotides) under uncultured bacterium. RNAcentral's name for it is "partial 16S ribosomal RNA". It matches the Rfam family "Bacterial small subunit ribosomal RNA", at positions 509 to 807 of the family's 1533-position model. The record is from RNAcentral.
CAGCCGCCGCGGUAAUACGAAGGGUGCAAGCGUUACUCGGAAUUACUGGGCGUAAAGCGUGCGUAGGUGGUGGUUUAAGUCCGAUGUGAAAGCCCUGGGCUCAGCCUGGGAAUUGCAGUGGAUACUGGGUCACUAGAGUGUGGUAGAGGAUAGUGGAAUUUCCGGCGUAGCAGUGAAAUGCGUAGAGAUCGGAAGGAACAUCUGUGGCGAAGGCGACUAUCUGGGCCAACACUGACACUGAGGCACGAAAGCGUGGGGAGCAAACAGGAUUAGAUACCCCGGUAGUCCCUGUCUCUUAUAC